Molecule: ribosomal RNA, 525 nt
Filed under: Aspergillus flavus
Lineage: Eukaryota; Fungi; Ascomycota; Eurotiomycetes; Eurotiales; Aspergillaceae
Description: eukaryotic LSU rRNA
Rfam family: 5.8S ribosomal RNA (bases 184-337)
Source: RNAcentral
ACCGAGUGUAGGGUUCCUAGCGAGCCCAACCUCCCACCCGUGUCUACUGUACCUUAGUUGCUUCGGCGGGCCCGCCAUUCAUGGCCGCCGGGGGCUCUCAGCCCCGGGCCCGCGCCCGCCGGAGACACCACGAACUCUGUCUGAUCUAGUGAAGUCUGAGUUGAUUGUAUCGCAAUCAGUUAAAACUUUCAACAAUGGAUCUCUUGGUUCCGGCAUCGAUGAAGAACGCAGCGAAAUGCGAUAACUAGUGUGAAUUGCAGAAUUCCGUGAAUCAUCGAGUCUUUGAACGCACAUUGCGCCCCCUGGUAUUCCGGGGGGCAUGCCUGUCCGAGCGUCAUUGCUGCCCAUCAAGCACGGCUUGUGUGUUGGGUCGUCGUCCCCUCUCCGGGGGGGACGGGCCCCAAAGGCAGCGGCGGCACCGCGUCCGAUCCUCGAGCGUAUGGGGCUUUGUCACCCGCUCUGUAGGCCCGGCCGGCGCUUGCCGAACGCAAAUCAAUCUUUUUCCAGGUUGACUCGGAUCAGUGG